RNAcentral lists this ribosomal RNA (497 nucleotides) under uncultured bacterium. RNAcentral describes it as "partial 16S ribosomal RNA". It matches the Rfam family "Bacterial small subunit ribosomal RNA", at positions 28 to 507 of the family's 1533-position model. The record is from RNAcentral.
GAUGAACGCUGGCGGCGUGCCUAAUACAUGCAAGUCGAGCGAACAGAUGAGGAGCUUGCUCCUCUGACGUUAGCGGCGGACGGGUGAGUAACACGUGGAUAACCUACCUAUAAGACUGGGAUAACUUCGGGUAACCGGAGCUAAUACCGGAUAAUAUAUUGAACCGCAUGGUUCAAUAGUGAAAGACGGUUUUGCUGUCACUUAUAGAUGGAUCCGCGCCGCAUUAGCUAGUUGGUAAGGUAACGGCUUACCAAGGCAACGAUGCGUAGCCGACCUGAGAGGGUGAUCGGCCACACUGGAACUGAGACGCGGUCCAGACUCCUACGGGAGGCAGCAGUAGGGAAUCUUCCGCAAUGGGCGAAAGCCUGACGGAGCAACGCCGCGUGAGUGAUGAAGGUCUUCGGAUCGUAAAACUCUGUUAUUAGGGAAGAACAAAUGUGUAAGUAACUAUGCACGUCUUGACGGUACCUAAUCAGAAAGCCACGGCUAACUACGUG